AUUUAUGUAAUAUAUAAUAGUAUAUUUAACUUCCAAUUAAAAAGAUUAAUAAACUUAACAUAAAUA
This 66-nucleotide transfer RNA is filed under the name Setodes brevicaudatus. RNAcentral describes it as "tRNA-Gly". Lineage: Eukaryota; Metazoa; Arthropoda; Insecta; Trichoptera; Leptoceridae. The record is from RNAcentral.